This 75-nucleotide transfer RNA is filed under the name Roseisolibacter agri. RNAcentral's name for it is "tRNA-Arg". It matches the Rfam family "tRNA". From Rfam's summary of the family: Transfer RNA (tRNA) molecules are approximately 80 nucleotides in length. Their secondary structure includes four short double-helical elements and three loops (D, anti-codon, and T loops). Further hydrogen bonds mediate the characteristic L-shaped molecular structure. tRNAs have two regions of fundamental functional importance: the anti-codon, which is responsible for specific mRNA codon recognition, and the 3' end, to which the tRNAs corresponding amino acid is attached (by aminoacyl-tRNA synthetases). tRNAs cope with the degeneracy of the genetic code in two manners: having more than one tRNA (with a specific anti-codon) for a particular amino acid; and 'wobble' base-pairing, i.e. permitting non-standard base-pairing at the 3rd anti-codon position. The record is from RNAcentral. Lineage: Bacteria; Pseudomonadati; Gemmatimonadota; Gemmatimonadia; Gemmatimonadales; Gemmatimonadaceae.
GCGCCCGUAGCUCAAUUGGAUAGAGCAUCUGACUACGGAUCAGAAGGUUUCAGGUUCGAGUCCUGACGGGCGCGC